Gadus macrocephalus (Pacific cod) is the source of this 801-nucleotide long non-coding RNA. RefSeq lists it as uncharacterized. The record is from RefSeq and is a predicted model, not a curated record. The transcript has 2 exons. Lineage: Eukaryota; Metazoa; Chordata; Actinopteri; Gadiformes; Gadidae.
GUUUGAAUCCUUACUUUGUCUCCAGCUGCUCGAGAGAUUCCUACAGAAGCGCCGUUGGAAUCAAACACCUGGAUUCCAUUAUCAGACUCUUCACUCCUGAUGGUAAACACGCUGAAGAAGCCCAGGGCAGCUGGGGAAGGAACCGGCACGAUCGACCUGAAGAAGAACAGCAAGGAUUGGCUCCCGAUGGCAAAUCUUUGGAUUAAAAUGAAUGGAAGUGCCUGAAUAAUGAAGAUUUUUAUUUCAUUUAUUGCAUUAUUCUUUUAAUAUGUGAAAUAUACAACAAAAGUACACCAUAUGUUAUGGGAUAUCACGUUGCAAUGGGGAAACAAUACAUGAAGUUUGAUUGACGAUCGAAAUGCAAUGUCCAUAGAAAACAACCAGUACAAACCCCUGCACAUGUUGUGUAGGAAACCGACCCUCCGAUCAAAAGAGCCUGUUUCAAAGACAUCUUCUUGGCCUGCCGGUGAGAGAUAAUGAAAGAAAAGGCAGAUAAUGCAAACAAACCCAAAGGAGAUUAGCUCAGCUGGCCUAUCUCCUGCAAUUCCUCAAAUAAUGCAACUGUCCAACGGGCUGGCUGACACUGGGGUCUAUCGCAUAGGGUUACACCCUUGUCAGACCUUGCAGAGGUCUCUACCGCCUACACAUGGUGUAGACCUGUUUUAAGCAUACAACUGUGUCUUUUGUUUGAAUAUGUUAAUAUUUUGGCAUAAAUCAGUAACAAAACUGUACCGUAGCUUAAAAAAAAAAAGAGCGAUUACCUUUUCCGAAGAAGAAUUUCUAUGGACAUGGUUAAAUCCA